RNAcentral lists this ribosomal RNA (403 nucleotides) under uncultured bacterium. RNAcentral describes it as "partial 16S ribosomal RNA". It matches the Rfam family "Bacterial small subunit ribosomal RNA", at positions 28 to 526 of the family's 1533-position model. The record is from RNAcentral.
GACGAACGCUGGCGGCGUGCCUAAUACAUGCAAGUCGAACGCAGGGGGGACGGGUGAGUAACACGUGGGUAACCUCCCAUCAGAGGGGAUAACACUUGGAAACAGGUGCUAAAACGAUACUGAUGGAUGAACCCGCGGUGCAUUAGCUAGUGGGUGGGGUAACGUCUCACCAAGGCCACGAUGCAUAGCCUGCCAGAGAGGGUGAGCGGCCACACUGGAACUCGGACACGGCCCUGACUCCUACGGGUGGCAGCAGUAGUGAAUCUUCGGCAAUGGACGAAAGUCGGACCGAGCAACGCCGCGAGAGUGAAGAAGGUUUUCGGAUCGUAAAACUCUGUUGUUAGAGAAGCGGUAUCUAACCAGAAAGCCACGGCUAACUACGUGCCAGCAGCCACGGUAAUAG